RNAcentral lists this ribosomal RNA (405 nucleotides) under uncultured bacterium. Its description in RNAcentral is "partial 16S ribosomal RNA". It matches the Rfam family "Bacterial small subunit ribosomal RNA", at positions 29 to 527 of the family's 1533-position model. The record is from RNAcentral.
AACGAACGCUGGCGGCAUGCCUAACACAUGCAAGUCGAACAGUGGCGCACGGGUGCGUAACGCGUGGGAAUCUGCCCUUAGGUUCGGACUAACAGCUGGAAACGGCUGCUAAUACCGGAUGACUGAGGAUGAGCCCGCGUUGGAUUAGGUAGUUGGGGGGGAAAAGGCCUACCAAGCCGACGAUCCAUAGCUGGGCUGAGAGGGUGAUAAGCCACACGGGGACUGAGACACGGCCCAGCCUCCUACGGAAGGCAGCAGUGGGGAAUAGUGCACAAUGGGCGCAAGCCUGAUGCAGCCAUGCCGCGUGUAUGAAGAAGGCCUUCGGGUUGUAAAGUUCUUUCAGCGGGGAGGCGUUACCCGCAGAAGAAGCACCGGCUAACUCCGUGCCAGCAGCCGCGGUAAUUG